UACGUAGGGAGCGAGCGUUGUCCGGAAUUACUGGGUGUAAAGGGAGCGUAGGCGGGUCAUUAAGUUGAUUGUGAAAUCUAUCGGCUCAACCGGUAGCUGCGAUCAAAACUGAUGAUCUUGAGUGAAGUAGAGGCAGGCGGAAUUCCUAGUGUAGCGGUGAAAUGCGUAGAUAUUAGGAGGAACACCAGUGGCGAAGGCGGCCUGCUGGACUGUAACUGACGUUGAGGCUCGAAAGCGUGGGGAGCAAA
RNAcentral lists this ribosomal RNA (248 nucleotides) under uncultured Oscillospiraceae bacterium. RNAcentral describes it as "partial 16S ribosomal RNA". It matches the Rfam family "Bacterial small subunit ribosomal RNA", at positions 524 to 772 of the family's 1533-position model. Lineage: Bacteria; Bacillati; Bacillota; Clostridia; Eubacteriales; Oscillospiraceae. The record is from RNAcentral.